CCUACGGGAGCAGCAGUGGGGAAUUUUGGACAAUGGGCGCAAGCCUGAUCCAGCAAUGCCGCGUGAGUGAAGAAGGCCUUCGGGUUGUAAAGCUCUUUUGUCAGGGAAGAAACGGCUGAGGAUAAUACCUUCGGCUAAUGACGGUACCUGAAGAAUAAGCACCGGCUAACUACGUGCCAGCAGCCGCGGUAAUACGUAGGGUGCAAGCGUUAAUCGGAAUUACUGGGCGUAAAGCGUGCGCAGGCGGUUUUGUAAGUCUGUCGUGAAAGCCCCGGGCUCAACCUGGGAAUUGCGAUGGAGACUGCAAGGCUUGAAUCUGGCAGAGGGGGGUAGAAUUCCACGUGUAGCAGUGAAAUGCGUAGAGAUGUGGAGGAACACCGAUGGCGAAGGCAGCCCCCUGGGUCAAGAUUGACGCUCAUGCACGAAAGCGUGGGGAGCAAACAGGAUUAGAUACCCUGGUAGUCCACGCCCUAAACGAUGUCUACUAGUUGUCGGGUUUUAAUUAACUUGGUAACGCAGCUAACGCGUGAAGUAGACCGCCU
RNAcentral lists this ribosomal RNA (542 nucleotides) under Massilia timonae. Its description in RNAcentral is "bacterial SSU rRNA". It matches the Rfam family "Bacterial small subunit ribosomal RNA", at positions 338 to 874 of the family's 1533-position model. Lineage: Bacteria; Pseudomonadati; Pseudomonadota; Betaproteobacteria; Burkholderiales; Oxalobacteraceae. The record is from RNAcentral.